CUAAUUUCUAGAUCCAAAUCCUCAGACAUGAGUAUAGAGUUUGAGUAACCACAUAAACCAGGAAAGUAUAAAGGGACCAUGCACAGUGUGGAAGGUAGUAGGGUUUGACCUGAUAGUGGAAUAGUAGGAUACAAGUAAUAUGAAGUGGCAAAUAGAAAAUGGGAGUGGGCAAUGCAGGAGAAGGAGAGGUGGGGACAAAUAACACCAAGAAUAUUUGAUAAGUCCUCAAGGAAUUAUAUUAUUCUGUAUGUAUAUAUGUAUGUAUGUAUGAAGUUGAUAAAGCCAUUAGACUGACAAUGCUCCCCACCAAAAAACAAACAAACAAAACCAGAGAAACAAAACCAUAGAUAACAAAACCCCACUACCAGGUAUGAGAGAAUUUCUUUUAAGUGAUUGUUCAAGAUAGUCCAAAUGAUUUCCAAAAUAAUAUAGACUAUUAAUAGAGCCCUUGGUUUCCUUUCAGGUACUGAGGGUAAGCCUCUAUGGCUGAACACUUGGCAAACUUAUGACAGAAGACUCAAAAAAUUUGAUUUGGAUAUGCCCUGAAAACACAUUUCCUAUAGUAUAACCUUCAUGGUACCAGAAAAUAUUACACAAGUUGCCAAAGAAGAGAAGGAAUUAAACAGUUCAACCCAGCUGUAACAACUUUGAACCACGAUAAUAACCAGAAAGGGCUGUGCAAUAUCCCCACCUCCUUGUUUAUUAUAUAUAAUAAACAUGCUGAGCUGCUGGAACGUUGUGUCUUCUCCACCAGAGUGCCCAGUAGGCUUGAUCCCAGCUAUCUAAAGCAGCAGUCCUCCCAAGAACAUCAACGAAACAAAUCAUAUCAAGUUAUGGCUGUGCUGCAGUGUACCUGUUUCUGUGGCCUGUGAGCAAGGAUUGCAUAUAUAGUUUUAUUUUAGCUGCAGGCCCUUAAGACUGAAAUAAGAAUUAGAGUUGAAGAAAAUAUGUUGGUGUAUAGAUGCAGAAGAAGAAGAAGAAGAAGAAGAAGAAGAAGAAGAAGAAGAAGAAGAAGAGAGAGAGACAGAGAGAGAGAGAGAGAGAGCCCACCCCUAUCUAUCAAGGACAGUAUAUGACUACUAAUUUCUAAAGUGAAGAAAGUUCCUGUAAAAUCUGUUUAUAAUUACCAACUUCUGCAAAUACAAGAAUUCUGUUGUUUAGUUCACUAAUUUGUUACAGUAGCCAUGGAUUUUUAAUACAGUUUUGUUCCAGUUUGCAACCCUAUGACUGAAGUUAAGGGGCAAUUUAAUGUGUUCAUGAAGUGUAAAAAAAAUUGAAGCACCCAGUAUCAUAGCACUGAAGAAGUCUGCUCACACAUGACUUAGGUGCUUGCUGGAAUUCUCAACUGUGCUUGCUAAUUGUAACUGACUGUCCCAAAAUAGAAACUUCAGCUUCUGAACUCUGGAGAAUGGGUCUCAGUGUUAAAGCAACCAAACAAACACAACACACAGAAAGGAAACAUUUUAGGAUAAUUAACCAUCUCUUUCCUACCAAGAAUCAAUGUUUAAAUUGAGAAUUUUUUCUAACAGGUUUGCUGUGGGGUCUUGGUGUAACAAGGGCUUCUCAAGAAGAUGUUAUGCUAUUUCUUUCCAGCUGUGUUUUACAUAGUAAAUGUAUUCCUUGUACAAGCCCAAACAAGAUUUUUCACCACCAACAGCGUGGAGUUCAGUAUUCACUUUAAAAUCAAGCUGUUCUUUCUUUACACAUCUACUAAAACUGAUGGAAAGUACUGAAAACUUUACAAAAUAGACAUGCCCUAUAGUUUGGUUAAUAAAGGGAACUACAAAAAGGAAGUUGUUUGACUUUUUUCAUUAUGAAAUGUAAUCUUGUGGUGAUAAUUGCAAUCCAAAGACUAGAGGCUCAUAAAUGGCAAGAACAUGUUCUGACAGAUGAUUGAGAAACAGAGAAAACAAAUACAUAUGGAAGUUACAAUAGAGUGUCAACUUAUUGCUGAAAAUUGUUAGAAAGAAUUGAAAUAUAAUUUAUUUUCAAUCAAAUGUUAAUUUUUAUCAUAUGAAACAAAAUCAUAAAGGACAUAAAGCUACUAGCAUAUCACUUGCGGGAAUCUUUAAGUCAUAUAACAAACAUAUAUUUAGUUAUGUUCAUGCCGGGAUUAUUUAUAUACUAUUAUUUUAAUAUCAGAGAACGCUCCUAAAAGUCAAAUAGCUCAUUUAUAAUGCACUUUAAAAUCAUUUCUCUACUUUUAUUAAUUACCUUUUGCUUCUUUUAAGAAUGAUGUUAAAAGGUAGACUUUAAAGUAACCCAGAGAAUUCUUAUCACUGUAUCUCAACCAGAUUUAUCUCAUUGUUUCAUCAGAUAUCACAAAUAUUCUAUAAUUACAUAGCAAAUACUGUAGCUUCAAAGACUUUCACAAAUGUUGCCCAAGCUGGUGAAACAGAGAAACAAAAGAGCAAAUGUUAAUGAACAUUGGGAGGAAGGGAAAUAAAGUCUCAAUAUGUUCUGAGUGUGAUCUGGUUUGAA
Molecule: long non-coding RNA, 2481 nt
Organism: Mesocricetus auratus (golden hamster)
Lineage: Eukaryota; Metazoa; Chordata; Mammalia; Rodentia; Cricetidae
Exons: 5
Source: RefSeq, a predicted model, not a curated record